This 4333-nucleotide unclassified non-coding RNA is filed under the name Leishmania donovani. RNAcentral's name for it is "gene:LdHU3.20.1680(CDS-product:small_myristoylate d_protein-1)". Lineage: Eukaryota; Euglenozoa; Kinetoplastea; Trypanosomatida; Trypanosomatidae. The record is from RNAcentral.
CAUCACUUCUACUGCCUCCCUCCUGCCUCCCUCCCAACCCCCCCGUUCUCUGCCCUUUGUUGCGGCACCAUCCCCACAGCCUGCCAUUUUUUCGCUCCCUUUGCCAUCAGUCGCCCUCUUUUUCGUCUUCGCUGUCUUUGUGUGCCUGUCCGUGUCCGUGUGCUUGUGUCUCCCAUUGCCAUACACCCAUCAUCGUGCGCUUGUUUUCUUCUUGCGCUACCUUCUCGCGAACUUUCCCUUAGGCUUAUAUACCCUUUAUUCACGACUCCCCCUUCCCUUCCCUUCCCUUCCCUCAGCGCACACGUGUGUGUUUCUUGAAAAUGGGCUGCGGUGCUUCUUCUGAGAACAGCAGCGUCACGUACGUGAACGGCAAGCCCACCUUCACGGGUGAGGAGGUGACGAAGGGCUUCGAGAAGGACAAUGGGCUGCUUUUCCGCAUCGUGAACAAGAAGAAGAAGCAGUGGGCGUACUACAACGACACGACGCAGUACGAAAUGCACGUGCUGGUCACCUUCAACGAGGACUGUGACAUCAAGGCUCUUGGCAAGACGAAGCUGGAGCAGCAGGAGAACGGCGAGUGGGUAGCCUCCGUGGUGGUGUACCCGUGCGAGACGGAGAUGUUCAUUGAGGGCCGCGUGAACGGCUUCAAGUCGAAGAUGGACGCCUUGCCGCUGUCGGAGGAGUACCGCCAGCGUCAGGCGGAGAAGGAAAAGUAGAGCGAAAAACCAAAUGAAGGUCGACAAAGAAAAAAAGCGCAGAAAGCAGACGAGAGUGUUUCUUUAGAUGCGGGAGAGGGAAGGGGAUGCAGAGGAGAGCGGGUCCAUGGAAGUGGGGUGCAACACCAGUGGCCGAGCAGAGGCACACUUGGAAGCGGGUGCCGAGAGAAAGCUGUGCGUGGAGUGUGGGUGAGGACGGGAGCGAGAUACUGGCGUGAGGGACGGGCCGAGGUUUUGGCGCUGUUUCUCUUUGUAUCUCUCUCUUUGAAGCCUCUCGCUCCCCCAUCUCCACGAUCUCUCUCUCGACAUCACUGUCCGACUGCCCACGUACUCUCAGCCCUCCUUUCUUCACCCCUCCUUUCCCACCUUCCUGUCUUUCCUCACCCAUGCACGCACGCGCAAACACACACGGAUUCCUUUAUGUGUGCAAAGACCGGAGACGUUAUGAACGGUGUAGGUGUCUUUGUCUAUGCUUGGGGUGAUGAUGUCUGGUUGAGGUGGUGUUUGUCUCCCUCUCUACUCCUUUCACUCCCCAUUUCGAACCGUUGGAGUGUCUCUCUCCUUGUUUCCCUGCCACCGCACCACGUCGUCCUCCGCUCGUUUGAGUGGUGUUGGUGGUGUCUGUCGUGUCUUCUUAUUCUUGCCGUCUAUAUACGUAUAUAUAUAUAUAUACAUACAUAUAUAUUUUUUGCUCUUCUCAUGUGGGUGCGUCCGCCCCGCCUCCCUCUCCAAACGAAGAACAAAAAGGCAGAAGACGUUCUCUCCUUUUUUUUGUUUCUGAAUGUAUUUUCGUUUUCUGUUUGAUGUUUUGCCCCCCCCCCCCCCCCCCCCCACCUCCUUUUUUUGUUUGGUCUUCCUCUUCACUUUUUUUCGCGGGUAUGCCGCGGGGGGGGGAUGAGGGAGUGCUCAAGGACUCCGCUUUCUUGUCUUUGGUUCGUUUGCUUUGUUUUGCAUUUCUUUGUAGACCUUCCUCUCCUCCCCCUACCCCCCCUACAUCCCUCUCUAGGCAGACACACAGGCACUCACUCAUUCACUCACAGCCACGCACACACUUCCAUACAUGCCCCUCACAGCCGUCUCUGACCAUUCCUGCGCUUUUACCGUGUGAUCACAGCUGCCCUUGUUUGCGUGUGCGCGCGCGCCUUCCCACUCCGGCGGGCCGGGGGUGGAGACGCACAGGCUUGCGCAUGUGUGUUUGUGUGCAUGCGUUCACUUCAUCUUCGCGCGCUCUCUCUAGCGCUAGGUAAAGAGGCGAGUAAGUGCGAUGGCAGCGCUAGUGAUGGGGAAGAUCGCAGAGGCCUGUGCAUAGGUGUACACCGGAACGACCCCCAUCUCCCACCCUCCUCUUUCCUUCCCCUUUUACCUUCAGACCUUUAGCUGCAGCGCACGUCUUCGCACACACGCACAUGCAUGCAAGUGAGGCCGGCAUGCGCAAAGACGAAGGAGAGAGGGAGCGAGAGGGCCAAGACGGCGAUCAACACGGUAGCUGCGAAAGAGGCACGCAGCAGGUAAAAGACGAAAAAGAGCAUGUACGAAGCAGCGGCGACUGAGCGGCUGCGGCGACGGGAGGAAGUGAAGGGAGGGAGAGGUGCCGCAGGACGGACGGAAGAGAGCGAGGAACAGCGACGUACCCGAACGCAUCGACGUGUGUGCAGGCGCCUGCUGGGAAUAGCUAUCACGUGGCAAACCGUGUGUCGCACGCGCGCCAGCAGGAUUAUAUACACACACGGGCCGCUGUGCCUUUGCUGCUCUUCUUGCUCUUGCGUCGUUUUUUUUCCUGUGUGUGUGUGUGCCCUUUCCCCCUCCCUCUGCGUUUCUGCAUCAUCUGUGUAUGUGUGAACUUCGUGUGUGUACUGGCUUUCUUACUGAUCCAUGUACGUCUGAUUCCCUCUCUCUAUAUGCGCAUCUUCUUCCUUUCUCCUUCUUCGAAGUUUCUCCACGCAUGCCUGUGUCUCUGUCUCCGCGCGGGUACCUUCAUGCGUGUGCGCGUGCACGUUUUUUUUGUGUGGUUUGCUUCCGUUGUGCCUCUUUUCGUUCUUCAAAGGUCUUUUUCGUUUAGUUUUACAUAUAUCUAUGUACGUAUGUGCAGGUAUAUAUAUAUAUGUUUUUUUCUUUUUUCGACGGCCCUCUACCGUUUCCACCUACCUACACUACUAGUAGAGUGAUGUACAAGAUGUCUCUCCUCCAUGUCUUCUUCCCUUCUCCCCCGCCUUCUCGUGUGCUACAUGCGUGAAAUGCUCUUGCGUAUUUGACUGUAUGGGACUCGUCCUCUUUUUUUUUGUUUCUUGUUCCUCUUUUUUUUGUUCGUCAUUGAUGUUCUCUUUCCGUGCGUGUGCCUUUGUGUGUAAGGUGACCCGGUGGAUGGGAGGGGAGGGUAUUCGCCUGCCUCUGACAUGGCCUUUUUGUGUUUGCCUCUUUUCGACGUAUUUUCCCUCCCUCCUCCUUUUCCCUCGUCUUGUUAUUAUUUUUCGCAUUCUCCUUGCGCUUAUGGGACCCCACUCUAUCUCCUCUCCAUCUUUUUCUUUCCGCGUUCAUGCCCGUCCUUGCCUUGCCUCCUUCCACUAGCGCCGCGGCCUCGCUUUUUCUCCUCUCUCUUAUUCCACAUCUUUGUCUGCGUAUGUGUGCUUGUGUGUGUGUGUGGCGUGUGCGCGCCAUUCUUGCGCUGUCGGCUCACGUCUUUGUUGCUCGGAAGCCCUCAGGCCUCCCCCUCCCUCUCUCUGGUCCCUUCCAUCGCUGUCAUCUGCACGUCCCUCUCAUGUCUUUGCUCUCUCCCUCUCUCACUGCCAACAUUCUCCUUCUGACAUAUACGCAGAGAGAGACAUAUAUAUGUAUAUAUGGAGAGGGGGCGAGCGAGCAAGCUUUCGAGCGUGACGAGGCCGAGAGAACCGAGGUACAGUGGUACGCAGAAGGGGAGAAGGGGUGCUGGUGGUGGCCCAGAGGCGCGGCCCUACGCGAAAGGCCACCGCAAGCUUCUCCUCCCCCUCCCCCUCUCCUGCGUGUGUUUUACUGCCUUCAACCCUGAAGGCCAGCUACGCCUUGAUCGCACGCGCGCGAGAGACACACGUAGCGCCACGCCACGCGCGGAUGGGAAACCAGCCAAGCGUCGAUGAAGGAGCGCGAACAAUGCCAACACACAGCGGGAAACAGGCAAAGGAGGAAAGAUCAGACAAGCGUUCAUUUUCACGCGAAGUGAAGUCAACUGCAAAUGAAGCUGUCAAGACGGAGACACCACCUGUGGGGAGGGGGAGGAACGAAAAGCGCAUCAAUGACCGACGUACCCGCACCCACGCCCACAUAUAUAUAUAUAUGCAUACAUACACGCAAACGCUUCAUCUCACGAUAUUUCUCGCACGUGAAACACGCACUCAGGCUGAUGCAUCAUCCUGCCCCCCUUACUCUUUUUCCGUCCUUUCUGGAUUCACUUAUUUUUAUCCCUCUUUGUAUACGUAUGUACGCAUGCGUGUGAGAGCGUGAAAAAAUGAGCACGAAAGAGGGGCAAGAGUGCAGGACAGCGGAAGGGAGAUCGAAUCAGUGAGUCCUCUGCCUAGUAGCCUGAGAUCGUCAAGCAGGGGGGGUAGGGAAGCGAAAAGAAACCAAUGACGCAAACACGCACGUAC